Tarenaya hassleriana is the source of this 1176-nucleotide long non-coding RNA. RefSeq lists it as uncharacterized. Lineage: Eukaryota; Viridiplantae; Streptophyta; Magnoliopsida; Brassicales; Cleomaceae. The record is from RefSeq and is a predicted model, not a curated record. The transcript has 3 exons.
CCACAGCACGAGAUCCAAGUCCAGGAACUGGAAAAUUUUCUCAGAAUCAACUAAUCGAAGCUCAAGCAAAUCCAGUAAUGGCGGGUGCUAUCCGACGCGUCUGAUUCGAAUCCGACGGCGGAUAAUCAACGGAAGGAAUCUCCGGCGGAUAUGACUCACCGCUGUACGAUCAUGUCAGUAUCAGCAUCCGCCAUUGUCAGACUCGCGGGGACAAGCAUCAUAACAGCUCCAAUAAGCCGAUCAGGGUCGGUGAUUCGCAUCAGUGGAUGGGUGAGAAUUUAUCUCAACUCUUUGAUUCGCUUCGCUGGCGGAUGAACAAAUGUUUGAUUGGGGCGACCGGAUUUAGGGUUUCUGUUUGAGAACAGAGAGGGUGGUAAUCAGUCUCGCUAACUCUGUUUACAAUGUGUAAAACUCAGCACUCUGUUAACAUAGGAUAUGAAUAUACAUGUUCUAGCAGAGGUAUGCGAAUUGGUCCCCCAUACGUUCAAUGGUUUAUCAACAGCAAGGUAUUCAAAUUGGUUCAGUAUCUUUGCAUACAUUCUAUGUAUUUCGUUUUAAUACAAUUACGUGGUUACUUAUGUUAUGGGUCAUGAUAUGGUGAAGCUAGAAUGUCUUAAACUUUGUUGUCUCUCAUCCGCGAAUGGCUGGAGAGAGGGCCUUUCUUUCUUGGAAUUCAGUACUAGGCAUUUUUUUUCUCUUUAGAAGAGAAUUCAAUGGUAACCUUACGUCUCUUUGAACACCUUGACCUUCUUUUCCUUGUUUGAUUUUUGGAAGGUGGAUACAUGUUGAGUGGUGCCCAGGGUCAUCCUGACAGGGAUUCGUCGAACACAACAAUAUUCGUGGGAGGACUUGACCCAGAUGUCACUAAUGAAGAUCUGUCGCCAAAGAAUGUGGAUUCGUUCAAUCUGUGAACAGAACAAGUGCGGAUGAGGCUUUGGACAAACUAAACGGGCCGGGCGGUGAUUGGAAAACAAAGAGUUCGGCUUUCAUGGGGUCGUAACCCGGCCAAUAAGCAGGCAAUCUUCUCUCUCUCACUCAUACAUGACAUCUAAGAGUAGGUUAAUCUUUCAUCGAGAUGCAGCACGUUCAGCUCAGUUUUCUCAUUACCGGGUUCGUAACCUUGUUAACUCAGUGAACCAAACAGAAAACGAAAACUGUCUAAUGUCAGUACUAGAG